This 24-nucleotide non-coding RNA is filed under the name Arabidopsis thaliana (thale cress). Lineage: Eukaryota; Viridiplantae; Streptophyta; Magnoliopsida; Brassicales; Brassicaceae. The record is from RNAcentral.
GACUUAUCAUCUUCACGGAGUUGA